RNAcentral lists this ribosomal RNA (253 nucleotides) under uncultured bacterium. RNAcentral describes it as "partial 16S ribosomal RNA". It matches the Rfam family "Bacterial small subunit ribosomal RNA", at positions 524 to 776 of the family's 1533-position model. The record is from RNAcentral.
UACGAAGGGGGCUAGCGUUGUUCGGAAUCACUGGGCGUAAAGGGCGCGUAGGCGGCUUUAUAAGUCGGGGGUGAAAGCCUGUGGCUCAACCACAGAAUUGCCUUCGAUACUGUAGAGCUUGAGACCGGAAGAGGUAAGUGGAACUGCGAGUGUAGAGGUGAAAUUCGUAGAUACUCGCAAGAACACCAGUGGCGAAGGCGGCUUACUGGUCCGGUUCUGACGCUGAGGCGCGAAAGCGUGGGGAGCAAACAGG